Molecule: transfer RNA, 49 nt
Filed under: Duttaphrynus melanostictus (Asian common toad)
Lineage: Eukaryota; Metazoa; Chordata; Amphibia; Anura; Bufonidae
Description: partial tRNA-Val
Source: RNAcentral
GCAUCUCGCUUACACCGAGAAAAUGUCCGUGAAAACCAGACUGUUUCGA